CAGGUUACAGGCGGCGGCGGCUGCGGGGAGCUGCGCGCGCGGAGGGGGCGGGGACCCCAGAGCGCGCACCGGCGGAACGGAGCGGUCGCGUGCCCGCGCCUGGGCAAGGGGGCGUGACCGAGGGCCGGGACAGACGCCAUUGGUCCGUGAGUGCACGGCCAGGCCAAUCCGAGCCGUUAGAGGGGCGUGCCCGGUCCCGGGCCCUGCGCGCGCCAGUGGGCGUGUCCCCUGGGCCGGUGGGAGGAGGGGCGGAAACUGGAGCGGGGCGCGCUGACGCAUGACGUCCGGGGGCGGCGGGCCGGGUAGUCGCGGCGCGGAGCGGCUGCUUGUACCCCCCGCGGCGGGGACACAGCGAGCACUUCUCUGCCGGAGCUUUUAUGUGGUGACAGCCUUGGCCCCCGGCAUGGAGGGGAGCGGUUUCUGGAGGGCGCCAUUUGUUCCUCCCGCGAUGGGCGCCGGCGGGGAGGCGUGUCUGCCCGGCCGGGCGCGGGGCUGCCUAGGGGCGGAACGCACUCGCGCCGCGCCCUCCGCCGCCGGCUUGCCGGGUGGCCGCGCCUAGAGCCUCAGGCCGCUCGCCCUCCCCACGCCCCUGCCUUGCAGAGCUCCGGGAGUCCGGGCGGGGCAGCUCCCGCGGGAGGGACAGACUCGGGCUCGUUCCUGGGGUCCGGGGUGCGGCCGCGCUGCCCUUCAGCUCGGGUCAGCCCGAGCAGGACUGGCCUCGGCUGGCGGUGAGCCUGGCAGCCCGGGUGGCGCGCCCACCGCGGCCUGUGCCUCCAGAAGCGAACUACGUGCCAGGGCGGCCGGCGCCGCUGCUGAGGGAACGCGGGGCCCCUUCCUCCCCAUCCCGCCGCAGGCCCGCUGCCAACUCUUCUAGGCUGCCCCUCUCCCACCGCGGUCGGGGGGGCUUCAAACGCCACCAGCUGCGAGGACCCCGCCCACCGCGCCCCACCCGCCCGCUGUCUGGGCCUCCCGGAGGAAAUGCUCGGCUGCGCCCAGCCCGCGCCUCCCAGCCCGGGCUGGGCCACCUUGCCCUUGACUCUCACGGUAACCCCUACCCCAGCCCGCGGCCCCAGCCAUUCUCCAGGCCUGGGCCGUCCUCGGAGACGCCGGUGAAUAACUUCCCACCGCCGCGGAACCGGGCUCAGCAAACCCCCUACUGCCUCGCCCCGUUGCAUUGUGCUUAAUGGACGUUCGAAGGAGUCAGCCACCCUUGCUGUGUUCUGAGAGGAGCCUGGAGAAUGAAGGAGCCCGGGCACUCACCCUCAGUGGACCCUCGCAGUGGGAGGGGGGUGUCAUUCUUCUCUCAGAAUUAAGGUUAAUAGCCGAGUUCGAGUUCUCACCAAAUUAAUUUGGGGUUGGAGCUCAGUAAGACUGGUUUUCAGGUAACCGACGAGGGACCGAAACGGCCAUUCUGGGUUGCGUGUUACGGUGAACAGCAAACUGCAUGGAUGUUUGAGCACCCUCAGUAUCUGUAACUAAAACCCUGAAAUGCGGUCUCGCUGAUUGAGUUGCUACCCUCUGGGGAGACUAAAGGUGCUGGACUGGGUCUGGUCCCUUUAGGAGGGUCUGUGCUUGGUAGAAAGUAAUCGUGUUUCUUCCAGGCAGAUUGUGUUGAUGACAUUUAAUAAGAGACGUGUGUCCUGACCAAGUAAUGAUUCGGAAUGUUCCUCUAUUCCCACCACAUGUCACAAUUAGUCACUUCUUAAGGAAGGAGUGGUCCUACACCAGCUUAUCAGCCACCCAUACCCUCCUGGCCCCUUUCCAGCCAGCAGAAUUCUCCCCAAUCUUCAAGGUGCCACGUCUCCCCACUGGGUCACCCCAGCCGGCAUACACAAUGGUAGGCCGUCUAGAGUCUGCACUAUUCUAGUAUUAGGCUACUACAGCCAUGAACAAAACAGGCCUGCCUUGGGUGAGGGGAUGCCCUACGUGGUCAAGGGUCCUCUGCAUUGAUGCACCCCCCUAAGAGUUUUCCAAGAAUGUGGGUCCCAAAGAAUUUUGACUGUGCUCUGUGGCAUUCUGUAUAGAAAACUGAGCUCCUUGGCUGGUUUCUCAAAAAUCCACUCAUUUGAUGAUUGUCGUGGUGUUCACUGACUUUAUCCCAAACCUACAUGGAAGGGUCUUCCGGACAGACAGCUCUUCCCCAAAGAAAAUCUCCUCUUAGCUAAGAGUCCAUGUUUUCUUUUCUAAGUAAGAUUUUGACAGAGAUGGCAUAUGUAUAUGUGAGGGCUGGGUCGUCUCGUUUCAAAUGGAAGCAACAGAAAAGCAGAGCAGGUGUGUCUGGGGCGUAUAGAGACUGAAGGCUGAAAGGGUGGUUGAGUUUCUGGGUAAAGUUGGUGGAUGGUUAGUAUGUAUUGACUUUAACUUCCUUCUGGAGCAUUUGUUAGAAGGCAGAAAUCCACAAAGACAGGGAGAACAAGAGAGGAAGUAACAGCAACGCAGUUCUUGAAGCUAAAAUACUUAGCAGAUCCAAGAAAAUGAAACCCUGAGAUAGUAGCUAGGAAGGAAAGCUAAGAACAUACUCCAUGGAAUCCCCCAGAAGGUUCACUAAUGGGUGGCACUACGUACCUCUGAAUGUGAGAGUAAACGGGGGUGAAAAUAAGAUUGGCAGAACGUCAGCUUGAGGAGCACUCAGAUGCCCAUAUCUGCACCCCAAUUUCAUGCAGCCUGACAACUGCCCCUUCCUUGUUCUGACGAAAGGCUGGAUAUUUAUGACCUGAAAAAACUAAAAGGCAGCGUCUUGGGUAGGUGGACACCAGGCACAAUUAAGGACAGAGGUACGGUAAUAGGAUCAGGGGAUUAAAUACACACAUGGAUACUGGAUGCUGAGACCCACAAACCCCUUUUUGGGAUUUCAGAAUGCAAGCAGCCAGGAGACUAGAAGGGUCUUUCCUGGGGUAGCCAACCAUGCCAAGGGGAAACACCCAGACAUUCUAACAUUUGUGGCUGCCCAAUUAAACAGCCAGCUCACCCUAUAGGGAAGGCCACAGUUAACACUGCCACUCAUGUGCACAGAAGUUCUCAUCAGCCUCUCAGUCCCUCCCAGGCCAAGGACAAGCAGGGAGCCAGAGCUGACCGGCAUCUCAGGAAACCCUGUGUCAUGAAAUACAAAGCCACAAUAGAGUUUUUAAAAAGCAAGUUGGAAGAAACAGACUAUGCAGAAAGAAAGAAACAUCAACAAAACCAUCAAUAAUGUCAUUAAAUUUUAAAAGACAUACAACCUGUGAAGGGAGAACAUAUAUAAAGAAACAUUCAGGGGAAAAAAAGUGUUCUUGAGAUGUUUACAAGGUAACAGAAAUGUAAAAGUAAAAAACCUCCUUGAAAGUAGAACCAAAAUUUUUUUUAAAAAAUGGAAAGUAGAGAAAAGCUAAAUUAGUGGACCAACCAAAAAAAUUAUUGAUCAAUGAGUAGGGACCCAAACAGGUGAUCAGAGAAAACACAAGAGAGAAAAUCGUCAAUGAAUUAUUAAUCCAAGAGAGGCCUUCACGACAUAUGCUGAAAGGGAGAGAGCCCAACACAGUGGGAAAGAAUAGCUCUACGCCAAGGCAUAUCAUUGGUGAGUUUCAGAAUGCAGGGGACAAAAGUGUCCUAACAUUAAAACAGGUCACCUACGGAUAGUCGGGUCAGAAUGACUGUGGGCCUCUCCACAACAACCAGUUGAAGUUAGAAGGAAGGGAACAAAGCCAUGGGAAAUAAAUGUAAAGGAAAAUUAUUUUCCAGCCUUCACCCAGCCAAACUAUAAACCAAGUAUUUUUCAGACGCAUGAGGUUUCAAAAAAUUUAUCCCCCAUGCAUCCUUUCUCAUAGUAGGAAGCCACCAGAGAUUAUACUUCAUCAAAACAAAGAUGUAAACCAAGAAAGCAGGAGACGUGAUCCACAAAGCAGGGAAGUCAUUGCAGGAUGGAAGGGAAAGUAAGUCCCAGGUGAUAGCUGCCCAGCCAGGUGCAGAGUGUCAGCAGCCCAGGCUGGAGCAGAUCGGCAGCUCCAGGAACACGUCUUCAAGAGGUAGAAUGAACAGAGUCCCUGUAUCAGUCAGGAGAGGCUGGGCCACACUGCAAAGCUCAAAGGUUUAUUUCUGGCCAUGCUGCGUGUCCAUAGGGAGGCACCUGGGGACAGCAGGUUGAUGGAGCAGCCUCUGUCUAGAAUGUGCUGGUUGCCGCACAGAAGACAAGGGAUAGCAUGGACCCAAGGGUGUUAACUAUCCCUUCUUUCCCACACACGAAAUACAUUUUACCCCUCCCUGGGUGGGCCUGACCCAUCUCACAUGCCUUUUUAGUCUGAGUCUAGAGCCCAGAGACAGGAUAACAGGAAUUUGAGGUGAGGGACAUUCUAUGGCAGCCAGUCAAAGCCCAGGACCCCCGUGGGAGGAACAGUGGCUUCUUCAUGUGGCUCAUGUGGUUCCUCUUGGUUUAGAGACCUACGGCCUAAAGAUGAAUUGUCUGGGCCCCCGCUGCUCGUAUGCACACCCAAUGCUGAAAGUGCAAAGAGACAGAAUAACACAACUAACAGCCUAAUUCAGAAAAGGGAGGAGGGGGAGACACACAGUAGACAGUAUCCAUAGCAAUCCUGAAACCCUGCUGGGCAGAUACUGCCCCCUGCCCUAAAGUGAGACUAGUCCUUGAAUAGCCUCAAAUCUGCUCACUGUGGAGUUUGAGGAUGGGGCAGUCAGGGCUUUACUCCACCCUCGGGAAGUUUUUCCUUUUGCAAUUUAUAUCUCACAGUUCUGGAGGCCGGAAAUUGUAUUCCAGCCACAGAUUGUAUUAAUCCUAGUUUUGGGCACUGCUA
This 4781-nucleotide long non-coding RNA is filed under the name Homo sapiens (human). Its description in RNAcentral is "LHRI_LNC2106.1". The record is from RNAcentral. Lineage: Eukaryota; Metazoa; Chordata; Mammalia; Primates; Hominidae.